ACAUAAAGAAUUUAAUAAAUACAAUCCACAGUUUAAAAAAAUCUAGGAAAAAAAAAAGAGCACAUAGGGAUCUUGGAAAAGCAUCUGGUGUAUAAACUGCAGGACCUGUGUUGCAUCUCUAUUACCCACUUUUAAAAAGCCUGGCAUGGAUGGACUUAUUUGUAACCCUAGCUCAAGCCAAAUGAAGGUUCUCAAAACUCACUGGGAAACUAGUCAAUUGGUCAGUAGGUUCAGUGAAAGACAAGCAACUGUGGAAGGUGCCCUGUACCAACCUAUAAACUAUAUCAUAUACACACACAUACAUGCAAAUACCAUAUAAACACACAAACUAUAUCAUACAUACAUACACACAUAUAUACACACUUGCAUACACCACACACACACACACACACAUACACACACACCUUAGAGACCCCCCAGGCCAGCCACUGUCUGCCGUAUUCAGCUUAUUCAGCCCAAAUGUGCUCAGUCUUUCAUGCAUGUGAUUAGCGUGAUUCUUAUCGGUCUGCAAGAUCCACUUCUAUUCAAAUCUACUUAUUUGUUCUAAUUUCCUUUGCAAGUGUCAGAGACCCUAACCUAAAUAAGACGGUCAAAAAGAAAAGUUAUAGCUCCAAUACGUACGGACUCUGGGGCUCAAGUGUCAUGUUAUCAAAAUACGUGUCCUCAAGGCUCGUUCUGUGCUGUCUUAACAUGCGUGCUUCUAUGACCCUCCUAAGACAGAGUGGAUCAGAGAGCCCCAGAGUUAGACUCUAGGAUCUGUGUUUUAGAACAAAACAAUGUCAUAGCAGUGUGUCAUAAAGAUUAAAUGUUGGUUACAGGCUUUACUUGUGUGACAACUUAAUAACAAAUUUACUGCCAGCAGAGAUGGUCCUUCUGACUCAUUCAUAGCCACGAUCUUACAAAAUGGUCAUGAAGCAAGUGCUGUGUGAAGUCUGGGAGGAACUGGGGAUACUGAGACCCUGGUUCAUGUUGGGGUCAAGAGGUAUUUGAGAAAUGAUCUGAUCCACUAUGGGAAAGUCUGGGUUGGAGGAAGUAUAUAGUUCAAAGUCUUGUAGCAACCAUGUCCAAAUGUGAUAAUGAAUAAAUUAAAGUUAAGAUGCAAGUUUAUAUGGUACUCCAAAUAAUUCUGUUUUCAGUCGCUCCUUGAAUGAACAUGCAGAGGAUAAAUAUAUGUGCACUCGACCAAAUGAGAAUAUAGCACAGGAAAAUAUCUAUUUCAAGGCUGGAGAUGAUGCUCUUUUGAGAGAGUGCUGGAACUAAGGGCAUGGUGGCAAACAUCUGUUGUCUCACCUUUUAGGAGGUGGGGACAGGAGGAUCAGAAGGUCAAGGUUAUCCUCUGCUACACACUGAGUUUGAGGUCAGUCUAGAUUACAUGAAACAAGACGUGUGUGUGUGUGUGUGGGUUUGUGUGUGUGUGUGUGUGUGUGUGUGUGUGUGUGUGUUUGUGCUCACUGAUAAUGCAGCAACCCAAUCAUUAAUUUGAUUUUGGUUUGCUUCUGUUCCUCACAUUCUUCGUGAAGCAGUUUUUGCAUAUGUGCUCUUGGCUCCACUCUUCCUGUUUGAGUCGUUUGGCUGCCAGCUUGUCUGGACUCAGAACUCCACAACACAAACUAGCAGACAAGAGAAGGUUUUCCCUUCUAUCACUUGGUGAAAAACUAACCCACAUUCUGGCUUGAGUAACAUUGAUCAAACUUGGCCAUGGCUCUCCUUCUCUAUUACAUCCACAGGGGCUGAGGGGGCCAGAUACUCUGAUUGGCCAUGUUUGACUGCUUGACUCACUUCUUGGGAGCUAAAGGGUGCCAGCCACCUCUGAAUCACACACAGACUCAGACUCAGAACAGGGCAGAACCAUUGCUGCCCAGAAAGUCUGACUACCACUGUCACUCAAAAAGAGACAGGCUGCUGAACCACAGAUGCCAGUGAAGAAACCAGCAGCACCCUCCCCUGGGUGUGCAUCUCCCUCAAGAAGGUGACUGACAGAAGGUACAAAGAACGCAGACAUGUACAUGGUGGGCCAGUAAGUAAACAGAGACCAGGGUUGUAGAUGAGGAAGAUGUCAGGAGAUGUUGACAAAUGAGAGUCUGAGUCUAGAAAGAUCUUAAGUUUCUGUGAACUGUAAAAAGAGGGAGUGAGAGAGACUUGAAGAUACUUCCGGGUAGUCUGUUUAUACAGUUUGCUUCCCUUGAAAACAGAAAUUAUGCCUCAUUUUUGUUUCCCUGGAAUCCACCAAGACACCUGAUGUCUGUGAGCGUUCACUAAAGGCUCGGUGAAUUUGUUAAUAUUUCCUCAUUAGCAUUCGAUCUGAAUUCCACCGGGGAUCUGAAAAUGAAGUAUUUAACUUCAUUACUCUGAACAGGAAACUAGGACAGAGAGGUUUGGACUCUAUCACCACAGUGCCAGCUAAGGCUGAUGCCAAGAUAACAGACACUGGCAGGUCGAUCUAAAUGCAAGCCAGAUAUGGAAUGCCACAAAUCUGAGCCUCACUUUAUUAGCAAUAAAAUGAGACUAAAGGGAAGCUUUAAAACCGGCUAACAUUUCUUCUUACAGUGGCACAAACAUCAGAUUUUCUGCUAAUUAUUUCAGAUGUUGAGUGGUAAAAGGUUAUUUUACAACGUUGUUAAAUAAAUACAUACUUAGGGGAAAUGAGGGAAAACAGUUUGUUUGGUGAGUUGCUAAGUAACACCACACAUGCCAGGAACUCUUUGGAGUUCCUAUGGAAGGUGGAGACGUCCGAACCAACAGGAACUCAGUUUGUGUCUGUCUCACUAGUUUUCACUGGAAAAUUAAUAAAUAAACAUUCAAAUUAACAGAGGAGCAUUGAACAUAUGUUGGACGUAUUUGUGCCAAAUCUAAGUAGACUCUCCUCAAGGUUGCUGUUCACAAGUUUCUCUGAUGUCUACAGAGUACCCAGACUAUGUGUGCGAUUUGUGCAGUGUGUCCCCAGAAAAGCCCACGGCAGAGAUGAAAUGAAACCAAACAACAUCCAUGAUAUACACAACAUGCCUCACAGUAUCCAAUUACUGAAAUAUGUGAUACAAAGGACUGUGGUAGCUAGGCAAAGAAAACCACAACGUGUUAUGUCUUACUUUAUGUAAGGAAAACUUUAUGAGAAGUAGCGUGUUUUAAAUGACUCUUUAAAGGAAGUAACUCUGUUCACCGGGAGAACAUCUGACAGCCUUGGGCCUUGCUUGAGUUAGUUGCUCUGCAAAGGAUAAACCCAGUAAAGUAAAAGUAAAAACAGAGCGGGCGGCAUUAGCAAACCAGAAAGAACGAAGAGUUGGACAGCUGGGCUCAUGACUAAAGUUAAGCCAGAUUCAGCAUAAAGGAACCCAGUGCUUUUUGAAUUAUGGUGCAUUAAAAUUGCAGAUUUUCUUAAAAUUACUUUUCUUCCUUUUUUAAAAAAAAUUUAUUCAUGUUAUACAUAUAUAUAUACAUAUAUAUAUAUAUGAAUGCUUUAGUUACAUUCAUAUCUGCACAGCCGAAGAUGGUUAUAAACAUUAUAGACAGCUUCGAGCCACCAUGUGGUUGCUGGGAAUUGAACUCAGGAGCCCUGGAAGAGGAAUAAGUGUUCUUAACCAUUGAGCCAUCUCUCCAGCUCCCAAAUUACUUUUCUUUUCUUUUUUUUCAAAAUUACUUUUCUUGCAAGUGAAAAUGAGGCAAAUACACAUCCAACUCCAAGUUAUUUGUUUAGAUACAUUUUAAACCAACUUAAAUUACUUACUUGUUUAGACACAUUUUAACCAUCUGAAUUACUUUUGGGGGUGGUGAUAUCUUAGGAAGAAUGUUUCAUAUUUGUUUUAAGUAAUUAACACUGUUAAAAAAAAAGUCCUACUAUCACUACUAACUUUGUGAUUUGUUUAUCAGCAUCAACUGAGCCUUCUAUGAUGUGGUCUUACUGUUUUUCUUAACCACUUCAACCUAGGGAUUCCCUCUUUGCUGGAAACUUCCAUAUUAGUUAGAUGCUACAUGAUAACUCAUGCUAUUAUUUAUAUUCACGGGGACAAUCUCUCCAACAAGAACACAACUCCAUGAAGAAUCUGCCUAAAUUGAAUUGAUUUUUUUCCAACCCAUCCAAACAAGAAUCACAUUUUAUUGUGUAAGUAAAAACACAGAAUUGGACAUUCAAGGUAAAUAUAAAGUAAUUGAGUGAAUUCGAUUGCUCUGUUUCUUCCUUGGCUGAGUCACUUUUUCCCCCCACUGAUGCGGCACUGUUUAAAGCAAAGACUUCACACAUACUAGGAAGAGAGGCCAAGGACAAAUAAAAAAGGAACAUAUUCUUCAGUGCCCAGUUGUCUUCUAGUUGGAAAAAAAAUAACCCAAAAGGCAAGCAAACAACUCUCACCCCCAUUCCAAAGAGCCAGGAAAGGUCCAGCUCUAUGACAAAAGAUUCUUAAGCUUCAGUUGUUGCUUAACACACAAGGACUAGAUUUUGCCCAUUUCAGAGAUCGUGUCUUGCUCCUAGAUAUGUGUCUCAUGCACACUGGAUUCUCAAGAAGUAUUUUCUCUACAAUUUCGAGUUUGCUACAGCCCCCCUGUUCUCAACAAACACAUCGUCAAGCUAAGGCGGAGAUGAACAAAGAAUAAUUAUGGUGGAUCAAAAAAUAAUUGAUAUCUUUCAUUAAUACAAUUAAUCAUAUUAAUAGGAUUAACAUAAUAUGAUUGAAACAUAAACAUGAAUGUAGCACUAAUAGCACAUGGCAUUUACCGUGUGACGUUUUCCAAGUUCAUACACCAAAAUCCCUGUCUGUCACAUGAUAAUAAAAAUCCCUGUCUGUCUGUCACAUGAUAAUAAAAGGAGGUGGGGGUCUUUAGAGGGCGAUUAGUCAUAGCGAUGGAUGUCUUAUACAGCCAAAGGAGGUUUGUGCUGGUUAAUUUUCCAGUGCUGUGACAAAAUGCCUGAGGUAAGACAAAAGGGUGAAAAGGUUAUUUUGGAUCACAGUCACAGAACGUCCGUUCAGUCUGUGGUUUACUUGCUCUGUGCAUUCAGACUUGUGAGUGUGAAUGUCACUGGAGCUUCCACAGGUGGUGGAACAAGGCUACCCACGGUGAGCACAAGGUGGGCGGGAGGGAAGAGGAGCAAAGGAGAUGGGAGGAAUGACCUGGAUCCCAAUAUUCCCUUCCAAGAGGUAUGUCUCCAAUGACCUACCUCUACUUGGCUCCCACCUCACAAAGGGUUCACUGCUUUAGAACAGGAUCAGCUGGGACUGAUCCUUCAACACACAACCAUCUCCCACCCAAAUCCUAAUGCAGCCUUUUGUUCCUUCACCACAUGAAGAUAAAUCUAAACAGUGCCACAUGGCUCAGAAAAGACUUGUAACACACACCCCAACUCUGCUGGCACCGGGCUCUUGAAACUUCUGCUUCCAGAGCUGGGAGAAACAGACGUUUAUAAGCCACCUGGCCACGGCAUUUUUUUGUUGCAGCAGCCUGAAGGGUUGGUCUUAGACAUCUGUAUCAAUUCAAUGUAUCUUCACAAGCCUAUGAGGCAAGCUGUGGGAAGCCGUCCCCACAUUUGCCGUUGCAAGAUGGCGCUGACAUCCUGUGUUCUAAGUGGUAAACAAAUAAUCUGCGCAUGUGCCAAGGGUAGUUCUCCACUCCAUGUGCUCUGCCUUCCCCCUGACGACAACUCGGUCGAUGGGCUGCAGCCAAUCAGGGAGUGACACGUCCUAGGUGAAGGAUAAUUCUCCUUAAUAGGGACGGGGUUUCGCGCUUGCUCUCUUGGUCUCUUGCGCUCUUGCUCCUGAAGAUGUAAGCAAUAAAGUUUUGCCACAGAAGAUUCCAGUUUGCUGCGUCUUUCCUGGCCGGUCACGAACGCGUGUAAGAGCAAGCGUUCAUCAUUUUCGUUUCCACAGGCACAAAUGAAGUAACUUGCCCUAGGUCAUGCAGUUGUCUGCUUCUAUGGUCCUGAUAAUGAAUUAUGUAUACACAGCCUGGAGCACCACUGACAAUUCUUCUAGGUCUGGAAUUCUGGAUGAUGUCAUCACUGCAAUUAUAAAACCCAGGCUACAAGAUGCAUUUUAUGAAAACUCUUUUAUCUGAAACAUAACUGUUGCUUCUCAAACUUUGGGUGCCCAGAAGCCUACAAGGAGACUCAGAAUUCCAGAGCAAAAUUCCUAGAAUUUCUGAGUCAGUAAGAGUGAUGUCGAGGACCCGACGAGUCAAUGCAUAAAACCUAUUUUCUGACCCUGAGUCCGUGCUCCCUCUUCAUACGCCCCUCCUCUGGAAUAUGCCUGCUAAGCAAUUUUUCUGUUAGUGCAGCACAGGUGGCUCAGCUCAGAAUACUGCUUCUCUAGACACCUCUUACUAGACAGACAUCUCACCCUUUCUAGUGGGAGACUUCAGCCUCUUUCUUUUCUUGAGGUCUGGGUCUUUUCUUGAGGCCAGGGUCCUUAUUACUCUGCUUAACUUGCUCAAUUAUUAAUUUUACACACAGGAAACGUAUAAGAGAUUAAUGAAUAAUGAUAAGGAGAGUGAUAGAUGAAUGAUAGGGAGAUCAUUCUAGAAAAGCAUUGUAGUGCCCACAAAGCCUAAAUGAGUCAUGUACCCCUCAGAUUCAUAUGUUGAAUUCCCAAGCCCUGGCAUCUCAGCAUAUGACUGUAUGUGGUCAGAGGUCUUUCUAAAAGUAACUAAAUUUAAAUCAUACUAUUAAGGUUGUCUAUAACCACUACGAUGACAAUGAUGGUGAUGAUGACGAUGACCACGAAGAUGAGGAGGAAGAGGAGGAUGAAACAUUUAAGGGAGGACAAUGGGGAGACACAGGCAAAACGUGCCAUAUGCAAGCCAAGACAGGCCUCGGAAAAGGUCAACCAACUUUUUUUUUUUUUUUGAGAAAAUGUAUUUGCAUUAUUGAACACAGUGUGUGGUAAGUUAUUAUAACAAGCCUGGCAAACUAAUAUAGGAUCGGACCAUGCACAUUUGCUAAACUGCAGAAAUAAAAUAUUACCACUUAAGCUAGAAUUCCAUAGAUUCUUUAAUGUACCAACAUGGCUGACCCCUUAUUGCAAACAGUGGAGACAUGGAGAAUAUGGGUGGGUGGGUAGGAGGGAAAUGGGGGAGGGAUACCACCCAUAGGCUCCCAAUCCAGUCCUAUCCCCAAGGCUAAACAGAGAGAGACCAGUUUAGUAUUAGAAUGGCAGAAGAGAUAUGGAAGUGACAGAAAUCAUUUGCUCUGCUGUGGAAUGACAAUGUUUGCAGUUAGAGUAAAAAGCAUUAGAGAACCCCUUGAGGACAGAAAUGACAAGAAGACCCCCGCGGGACUUGACGAGGAGGUGGAUGAGGACAUCCUAUGAGAAGCGUCAGAAGUGAGGGCAGAGAUGCACAGAUCUUGGCCAGGAAUUUAACUUUUAAAAGAGAUGGGAAAACCAUGGAAAAUCGAAUUUGGAGUAGGCUUUGCCUGACCCAACUGCUGUCUUAAGUUGGCUGUGCCAGCUGGGGCGUAGCGAGGAUGGAGAUCUAGACCUAACGCCUGAGGCAGGAUUCUGUUACUCAAGGGCUGGCCAGGAGCGGAAAUGAGGUAAUGGUGGAGGCAUCAGAAAGUUCCAAAAUCCAACCCUUGGAUGCCUCUAGAUGUCUGGAGAGUGGAGACAGGAAAUCAUCCAGUAAACACAGAAUCAAGGAGCUGAGGGUCACCAAAUGCAAGCCUUGCCGCCUUGGUGAUUUCUUUCUGGUUUUUAAACGAAGGGUGGAUUUCUUUGCCUUCCCUGAGAAUUCAGUUCAAGCUGGAUUUCACUAGUUCUUUCUAUCCCAACAAAAGAUCUCCAUCUUUACCCUCCUCCUUGCACCUUUGCAAACCCAGGGGGAGUAUGGACAGAGUCUAAGCACUAUCUUAAGGUCAUGCAGGCAUGGACACACCCAGGAGCCCCUUUCCCGACGAGCUGGCUGACCAAGCAAGCUACCCCGUAGGAAUGUGGGCACCGAUGGGGACCCUGGCUCUACUUGGAUCCCUGGCCGCUGGGGCCUUUUCGACGCGCCUAAGUCCAGUCCAGGCGAGGCCAGGGCCCGGGAGGCGGGCCGAGGGGGCGGGCGGAGGCGGGGAGCAGCAGGCCGACUCCGGGAAGAAAAGAACAUGGCUCCUGCGGCAGAGGGCGGCGGCACUCCCGGGCGCGCUGGGCGCCAGUGAGCGCCAUGGUUAACUCCAGACGCGUGCAGCCGCAGCCGCCCGGGGACGCGGGACGCUCGCCCGCGCCGCGAGCGUCCGGACCCGGGCGCCUGGUGGCGGGAGGCGCCGGCCUAGCUGUCCCCGGCGGCCUCGGGGAGCAGCGGGGCCUGGAGAUCGAGAUGGAGCGCAUCCGGCAGGCGGCCGCUCGGGAUCCCCCGGCCGGAGCCUCGGCCUCGCCGUCUCCUCCGCUUUCGUCCUGCUCCAGGCAAGCGUGGAGCCGCGACAACCCGGGCUUUGAGGCAGAGGAGGAUGACGACGACGACGAGGUGGAAGGAGAAGAAGGAGGGAUGGUGGUAGAGAUGGAUGUGGAGUGGCGCCCGGGCAGUCGGAGGUCGGCCUCCUCCUCGGCCGUGAGCUCGGUGGGCGCCCGCGGCCGAGGGCUCGGGAGCUACCGCGGCGCGGCUCACCUGAGCGGGAGGCGGCGCCGGCUAGAGGACCAGGGCGCGCAGUGUCCCAGCCCCGCGGGCGGCGGGGACCCGCUGCAUCGCCACCUCCCGCUGGAGGGCCAGCCACCCCGAGUGGCCUGGGCAGAGAGGCUGGUGCGAGGGCUGCGAGGUCUCUGGGGAACAAGACUCAUGGAAGAGAGCAACGCCAACCGAGAGAAGUACCUGAAAAGUGUGUUACGGGAGCUGGUCACUUACCUCUUUUUCCUCGUAGUCUUGUGCAUCUUGACCUACGGCAUGAUGAGCUCCAAUGUGUACUACUACACUCGGACACUGUCACAGCUAUUCAUAGACACCCCAGUGUCGAAAACAGAGAAAACCAACUUUAAAACUCUUUCUUCCAUGGAGGACUUCUGGAAGUUCACCGAAGGCUCCUUCCUGGAUGGGCUGUACUGGAAGGCACAGACCAGCAACCACACGCAAGCUGACAACCGAAGCUUUAUCUUCUAUGAGAACCUGCUGCUAGGAGUGCCGCGUCUACGCCAACUCCGAGUCAGAAACGGAUCCUGCUCCAUCCCUCAGGACCUGCGAGAUGAAAUUAAAGAGUGCUAUGACGUCUACUCCGUCAGCAGUGAGGACAGAGCUCCAUUUGGACCGCGGAAUGGAACUGCGUGGAUGUACACAAGUGAGAAGGAGCUGAAUGGGAGCAGUCACUGGGGGAUCAUUGCGUCGUACAGUGGAGCGGGUUACUACCUGGAUCUGUCCAGAACCAGGGAGGAGACAGCAGCCCAGCUUGCUGGCCUCAGGAGGAACUUCUGGCUGGACCGGGGCACGCGGGCAGCUUUUAUAGACUUCUCGGUGUAUAACGCAAACAUUAACCUGUUCUGUGUGGUCAGGUUAUUGGCGGAGUUCCCAGCAACGGGUGGCGUGGUACCCUCUUGGCAGUUUCAGCCUGUAAAACUGAUCCGCUAUGUCACAGCCUUUGAUUUCUUCCUGGCAGCCUGUGAGAUCAUCUUUUGUUUCUUUAUCAUUUACUAUGUGGUGGAAGAGAUAUUGGAAAUUCGGAUUCACAGACUGAGCUAUUUCAGGAGUUUCUGGAAUUGUCUGGAUGUUGUGAUUGUCGUGUUAUCUGUAGUAGCUAUGGUGAUUAACAUUUACCGAAUGUCAAAUGCAGAGGGGCUGCUACAGUUUCUUGAAGAUCAAAAUUCUUUCCCCAACUUUGAGCAUGUGGCAUACUGGCAAAUACAGUUCAACAAUAUAAGUGCUGUCAUGGUAUUUUUGGUCUGGAUUAAGCUCUUCAAAUUCAUCAAUUUUAAUAGGACCAUGAGCCAGCUCUCCACAACCAUGUCUCGAUGUGCCAAAGACCUCUUCGGCUUCACCAUAAUGUUCUCCAUCAUCUUCUUGGCAUACGCACAGCUGGCAUACCUUGUCUUCGGCACCCAGGUCGAUGACUUCAGCACUUUCCAAGAAUGUAUAAUAUGUUCCUGGCGAUCAUCAAUGAUUCGUACUCUGAAGUGAAAUCCGAUCUGGCCCAGCAGAAAGCAGAAAUGGAACUCUCAGACCUUAUCAGAAAGGGCUGCCAAAAAGCACUGGUCAAACUAAAACUGAAAAGAAACACUGUAGAUGCCAUCUCAGAGAGUCUCCGGCAAGGUGGUGGCAAACUGAACUUUGAUGAGCUUCGGCAAGACCUGAAAGGGAAGGGCCAUACAGAUGCAGAGAUUGAGGCCAUAUUCACUAAAUAUGACCAGGAUGGCGACCAGGAACUGACCGAGCGUGAGCAUCAACAGAUGAGAGAUGACUUGGAGAAAGAGAGGGAGGACCUAGACUUGGAACACAGCUCUUUACCACGUCCGAUGAGCAGCAGAAGUUUCCCCAGAAGCCUGGAUGACUCCGAGGAGGAGGAUGACGAAGACAGUGGCCAUAGCUCCAGGAGGAGGGGAAGCAUCUCCAGUGGGGUUUCCUAUGAAGAGUUCCAAGUACUGGUGAGGCGCGUGGACCGCAUGGAGCACUCCAUUGGCAGCAUCGUUUCCAAGAUUGAUGCCGUGAUUGUCAAGCUGGAGAUCAUGGAGCGGGCCAAGCUGAAGAGACGAGAGGUGUUAGGACGGCUGCUGGAUGGCGUGGCUGAGGAUGCGCGACUGGGUCGGGACAGUGAGAUCCACAGGGAGCAGAUGGAGCGCCUGGUGCGGGAAGAGCUGGAGCGCUGGGAAUCGGAUGAUGCAGCUUCGCAAACAGGUCAUGGUGUAAGCACACAAGUGGGACUCGGUGGCCAGCCCCACCCCAGAAACCCGCGCCCUCCUUCCUCCCAGUCUGCAGAGGGCCUGGAAGGUGGAGGUGGAAAUGGAAGUGCCAACGUCCAUGCCUAAUAAUCCACACGUGUUUGUGUGUUCCUGAGACACCGAGAGGUGGCUGUCCAGUACGACAAUGAUAAGUUCGGUAUUUAUAUACCCCGGCUGCAUUAUGAUGCUGGUCUUUGUGACCAAUUGUUAUAAUUUUCUGCACUUUAAUUUAUUUUACGUAAACUUAAACCCGUGGUUCAAGGAAGGUUUGUCUUACUUUUCUCAUGUGAGAAAUCUAGGUGUAAAUAUUGAGUUCAGAAAGAAGAAAACUUUGAAAGUACGCUGAUUUGCUGCCCUGCCCGUGUCUUCAGGUGACAGUGUUUGGAAGUUAGAGAGCCUUCACUAGUCUCUGAGUUCGUGUGGAGCCACCACAGUCUGCUGCAUUAGUCCAGUGCGAGAUGCUAAGGAAAAACAUGACAUUUCAUUCCACUGAGGUAUAACUCGGAGCUUACUGCAUAUCUUUCUUCUAAGGAAGGAGUAGUAUUUCAGCAACCUUUCUGGGGUGCAGAGAAAGGAUAUGUAUGUAGCCACUGUGCUAAAAUGUGUGUGAACAGUUGAGAUAGAUGCUAAGCGCCAUACCAGUUUGUGGCACUAAGCAUAUCAUUUAAUUUUUGUGUUAUUUAGCUUUUGUUUCAGAUUUGGCAAGGAAAGCUCAAAAGAUAAAUUAUAAGAUAAAGUGUAGGAUUGGAGCCGGGCAGUGGUGGUGAACGCCUUUAAUCCCAACACUUGGGAGGCAGAGGCAGGUGGAUUUCUGAGUUCGAGGCCAGCCAGGGCUACACAGAGAAACCCUGUUUCGAAAACCCAAAAAAAUAGGUAGGAUUGGAAGGGGCCUUCAAUUCUUACUACAUUUGACUUUUCAAUUAUUUGUUAGCAUAGAAAUUUCUCUAUUUUUCUUUCCUAUGUGUCUCAUUUAUAACCAAAUUUAAUAUUAAAAAAACUAAUAAGACAAACACUGAAUAUUUUCACUGUGUAGUGAAAGUUUUAACUCAUCAAAUAUGUACAUGGGAAGCAGUAUUUUAAGAAAGUUUUGAGGUGCAUAAAAGCUCUGUAAAAGUAGAGGUCUGGUUUACGUUGUAUCUUGAAUAUUCUUAAUAUCUAGAAUAUUCUUAGUCAUAUAUCAGGAUGGAGUCAUAUAAUGCAAAUUUAGUUCAUUUUUAUGUGAGGGGCCUUGGGUAUUGUAGGUUUAUAUAUUUGCAGAAGAGAUCCACUAAAAGUUGACUAUCAGCAGUAAGAGAGGGUCUCACAAAAUUUAUAGGAGAAAUCUAUAUCUCAAUAUCAUUUUGGUUUUUGUGUCUGUCAAAGACAGGUUUUCACUAUAUACUCCUGGCCGGCCUGGAACUAACUGUGUAAACUAGGCUGCCCUCAGACUCCCAGAGAUCCACUGGCUCUCAGCCUCUUGAGUGCUGGGAUUAGGGCCAGUGUGACCACAGCAGUUGUUGAAUAACUUGGCCCUUUGAGAGCUAGGGGUCAGAAGAAACAAAGCCAAGCUGGUAGAGAAGCCAGAGGUAGAGAACAAGUAGAAGAGAAUCCUGGGCUUAGUACCGUAUUUGAAAUUCACAAGAAUUCAUUGACUUCCUAGAAUAUACCAAACCUCUCCAACCUCUAACAGACUGCUGAGUAGACAGGCCUUUUCUCGUCAGCUUCCACAGAAGCGAGGCACGCCAUGUUUCCCUGAUUCUGAUGGCUGCACAUCAAUCAUUUUCUUUUGAAUAUGCUACACUAAUUUUUUUUCCUUCCUAGGUAUUGGAUUUUGCAUUGCAGGGGUAUUAUUGUAUGUAUGUAUUUAUGUAUGCGUACUGUACUGUUACAAAGUGAACAAACUUCAACUUGAAGUGCAUUAAUUAUGUGGUAUCCAUGUGUAUCGACCAUGUGCCGUAUGCCUAUUAUGGUCACUAGAACAUCUUUUAUGAUGCUUAUUAUUACAGUGUUUCUCAUUUAACUUGUAAACUUUUGUAGAAUUCUCCUUUUUUUCCCUUUAGAUAUAAGUUCAUAUAUUUUUCUACUUUAGUCCUGUGAAGUUUAUCCCUAGUCACCUUCCUGGUAGUCUCCCCUCUGUUAAGGGUAUAGUUAAGAUUUCACAUAUACAAGGUUCUUUGGACAUCAACAAUUUCUUAACUGUAAUAAUGUGUACAUUACUUAAUAAAGACUUGACAUAGUA
Mus musculus (house mouse) is the source of this 13035-nucleotide RNA transcript. It is a transcript of the gene named polycystin 2, transient receptor potential cation channel, with no coding region annotated. Lineage: Eukaryota; Metazoa; Chordata; Mammalia; Rodentia; Muridae. The transcript has 14 exons. The record is from RefSeq and is marked validated.